RNAcentral lists this ribosomal RNA (2901 nucleotides) under Acinetobacter baumannii BJAB07104. RNAcentral describes it as "23S ribosomal RNA". The record is from RNAcentral. Lineage: Bacteria; Pseudomonadati; Pseudomonadota; Gammaproteobacteria; Moraxellales; Moraxellaceae.
CGCCACCACCACUUGGAUAUUUGGUAAGCGCAUGAAUGGUUAAAUCCACUGAUAAAUGCUCAUCGGAAAAAUCAAAAGCAUUAAAGGCGAGGCCAGCUCCCCAAGUAUUAUCUAGUGCAGUUAAAACGCCAUGUGCUUUUGCUUUUUUUACUAGCGCUUUGAGAUCUGGAAAUUCAAGAGUGACAGAACCUGCUGCUUCUAACCAUAGCAACUUGGUUUUAUCAGAAGGCUGGAAACUUGAGACAUCGAUCGGGUUAUAAACUUGAACAUUAAUUCCAUAUUGAUCUUUUAAGUAGUUUAGGUGUUCCAGAUUCGGACCAUAUAUGUUGUCUGGCACCCAAACUUCAUCACCUGUUGCUAGCACAGCAGAAUUUACGAGAUUAAUCGCAGAUAACCCGCUUGGAGCAAGUAGGCAGUAUAAACCACCCUCAACUUGAGCAAUAUUAUCGCCUAGUGUGAAUGUCGUAGGCGUACCGUGGGUGCCAUAACUAUAGUCAUAAGGAUCGGUCCAAUGACGGUCAAAAAGGUGCGAAGUUGAUUUAAAAAUAAUAGUUGAUGCACGAAAUAAGGGAGGUUGCACGGUUUCAAUAAAUUGAGGUGCUUUUCGUGGUGCAUGAAUGAGUUGGGUUUGGAAAUUGUUAUGCUUUUUCAUGGGGCGCUAUACUUUACAUAAUGAGAUUAGAUUAAGAGAAAACUUACUUAACUGCUAGAUUUUUGAUUAUUUCUAAGAUGUUUCGUUACUAGUGUAACAUUCAUUAAAACUUGGCUUUAUUUUUGCAAAGAUCAAACCAACAUUCUAACAACAAUAGGUUUAAGCGCAUGAAGUCGCAUUUACGUGUUCACUAUUUUCAACAUAUUGCUGGCGAAGGUUUUGGAAGCUGCUAUUCAUUCUUAAAAGCACACCAUGCAACGAUAACAGCUACAGAGUUUUUUGCACUUCCAGUUGAUCUCCCUUUGGAAAUAGAAGCAUUGCCACAUAUUGAAGAUGUGGAUUUGCUACUUAUUAUGGGGGGAACUAUGAGUGUAAAUGAUGAGGCAAAUUAUCCAUGGUUAAAAAUAGAAAAAAGAUGGAUACGUCGUUAUUUGGCGGCGGGAAAGCCUGCGAUAGGACUUUGUCUCGGAGGCCAACUUAUUGCCAAUGCACUAGGAGCCGCCGUUAGUAGAAACCGUUAUCAAGAAUUGGGAUGGUCGACCGUACAAAGGGUGCCGAAUUUACCUAAAGAAAGCUUUUUAUUACCAGAAAAAAUAAAUGUAAUGCAGUGGCAUAGUGAAACUUUUGAGAUUCCUAAAGGUGCGAUUCAUUUAGCAGAGAACUCAGUUUGUCGUAACCAGAUGUACCAAAUUGGUUCAAAUGUUCUUGGUUUUCAAUUUCAUCCAGAAAUGACACCGAAGGUAUUAAAUCUUCUUUUAGAGAACGAACAAGAGCUUUCUAUUUUUAAAGGUGAGUAUGUUCAAUCUUUAGAUGAACUACAUCAUUGCGACAUCCAAAAGUUUGAACAAGGCAAUCAACUUUUAAACAGGGCAAUAGAGUUCGUGGUCAAUCAAUAAAAAUAUAGAGUUGAUGAGAAAAAGGAUGAAUUGAGCAGAAAAUAGAAAAAGAGAAUUGCAUAAGACUUAAACAAUCGUUAUAAUAAGCGACCCUCAAGAAGAGGGCAUUUACUGCGAAGAAAGUAGUAAAUGUGCAUUACAGUCGUGGCAUCGAUCACGACCUUGGUGAUUAUCACUGCCUUUGACACUUACCAGAUAGGUGAGAUGCGUCAAAGGUGAUUCUUUAUAUAUUUGGCUUGGAGUUUACUGGUAUGUCUAACCAGAGAAUUCGUAUCCGUCUUAAGUCUUUUGAUCAUCGUCUGAUUGAUCAAUCUGCUCAAGAGAUCGUAGAAACCGCUAAGCGUACCGGCGCACAAGUGUGUGGUCCAAUUCCGAUGCCUACUCGCAUCGAACGCUUCAACGUUCUUACUUCACCGCACGUUAACAAAGAUGCGCGUGACCAGUACGAAAUCCGCACCUACAAACGUUUGAUCGACAUCGUUCAACCUACAGAUAAAACUGUUGAUGCAUUGAUGAAGUUAGAUCUUGCAGCUGGUGUUGAUGUUCAGAUCGCUUUGGGUUAAGGCUUUCGGUUAAUUAACGAUUAGUUAAUUAGGCCGCUUUUUUAGAGGUUUAUGCACAUGGCUAUUGGUUUAGUCGGUCGCAAAUGUGGUAUGACUCGCAUCUUUACAGAUGCUGGUGUUUCUGUACCUGUUACAGUCAUCGAAGUCGAUCCAAACCGCAUUACGCAAAUCAAAACACUUGAAACUGAUGGUUAUCAAGCUGUUCAAGUAACUACUGGUGAACGUCGCGAGUCUCGCGUAACUAACGCUCAAAAAGGUCACUUCGCUAAAGCGGGUGUUGCUGCUGGUCGUUUAGUUAAAGAGUUUCGUGUUACUGAAGCUGAGCUUGAAGGCCGUGAAGUUGGCGGUACUAUUGGCGUUGAUUUGUUCACAGUUGGUCAAAUUGUUGACGUAACUGGUCAAUCAAAAGGUAAAGGUUUCCAAGGUGGUGUUAAACGUUGGAAUUUCCGUACCCAAGAUGCUACUCACGGUAACUCUGUUUCUCACCGUGUUUUAGGUUCUACAGGUCAAAACCAAACUCCUGGACGCGUGUUCAAAGGCAAAAAAAUGGCUGGUCACUUAGGUGAUGAACGCGUAACAGUACAAGGUCUUGAAAUCGUAUCUGUUGACACUGAACGUUCAGUUUUGGUUGUUAAGGGUGCAAUUCCUGGUGCAACUGGCGGUGACGUUAUCGUACGUCCUACCAUCAAGGCCUGAGGGGAAAUACCGUGAAUUUAAAAACUGUUUCCGGCUCUGCUGUUGAAUUGUCUGAAGUAGCUUUCGGACGUGAAUUUAACGAAGCUCUUGUACA